CCCCCCGAGUUUGACGACUUCUGGCCGAAGCGACAGAAGUGUCAGGAAGAGAUUGUGAUACUCCCCCCCGAGUUUGACGACUUCUGGCCGAAGCGACAGAAGUGUCAGGAAGAACUUGGGAUUCUCCCCCUUGAGAUCAUUAAGGCCGAAGCGUCAAAAUGACCUCUGGUCUACUAAGGCCGAAGCGACAAAGCAGACCGACUCA
RNAcentral lists this long non-coding RNA (205 nucleotides) under Zostera marina. RNAcentral describes it as "long non-coding RNA (ZMAR_LNC004691)". The record is from RNAcentral. Lineage: Eukaryota; Viridiplantae; Streptophyta; Magnoliopsida; Alismatales; Zosteraceae.